Molecule: ribosomal RNA, 793 nt
Filed under: uncultured bacterium
Lineage: Bacteria
Description: bacterial SSU rRNA
Rfam family: Bacterial small subunit ribosomal RNA
Source: RNAcentral
AGAGUUUGAUCCUGGCUCAGAUUGAACGCUGGCGGCAGGCCUAACACAUGCAAGUCGAGCGGUAGAGAGAAGCUUGCUUCUCUUGAGAGCGGCGGACGGGUGAGUAAUGCCUAGGAAUCUGCCUGGUAGUGGGGGAUAACGUUCGGAAACGGACGCUAAUACCGCAUACGUCCUACGGGAGAAAGCAGGGGACCUUCGGGCCUUGCGCUAUCAGAUGAGCCUAGGUCGGAUUAGCUAGUUGGUGGGGUAAUGGCUCACCAAGGCGACGAUCCGUAACUGGUCUGAGAGGAUGAUCAGUCACACUGGAACUGAGACACGGUCCAGACUCCUACGGGAGGCAGCAGUGGGGAAUAUUGGACAAUGGGCGAAAGCCUGAUCCAGCCAUGCCGCGUGUGUGAAGAAGGUCUUCGGAUUGUAAAGCACUUUAAGUUGGGAGGAAGGGUUGUAGAUUAAUACUCUGCAAUUUUGACGUUACCGACAGAAUAAGCACCGGCUAACUCUGUGCCAGCAGCCGCGGUAAUACAGAGGGUGCAAGCGUUAAUCGGAAUUACUGGGCGUAAAGCGCGCGUAGGUGGUUAGUUAAGUUGGAUGUGAAAUCCCCGGGCUCAACCUGGGAACUGCAUUCAAAACUGACUAACUAGAGUAUGGUAGAGGGUGGUGGAAUUUCCUGUGUAGCGGUGAAAUGCGUAGAUAUAGGAAGGAACACCAGUGGCGAAUGCGACCGCCUGGACUGAUACUGACACUGAGGUGCGAAAGCGUGGGGAGCAAACAGGAUUAGAUACCCUGGUAGUCC